This 253-nucleotide ribosomal RNA is filed under the name uncultured bacterium. Its description in RNAcentral is "partial 16S ribosomal RNA". It matches the Rfam family "Bacterial small subunit ribosomal RNA", at positions 524 to 776 of the family's 1533-position model. The record is from RNAcentral.
GACGGAGGGUGCUAGCGUUGUUCGGAAUGACUGGGCGUAAAGGGCGCGUAGGCGGCCUCAUAAGUCCGUUGUGAAAGUCAAAGGCUCAACCUUUGAAAGCCGAUGGAUACUGUGAGGCUAGAGUCCGGAAGAGGCGAGUGGAAUUCCUGGUGUAGCGGUGGAAUGCGCAGAUAUCAGGAGGAACACCAAUAGCGAAGGCAGCUCGCUGGGACGGUACUGACGCUAAGGCGCGAAAGCGUGGGGAGCGAACAGG